This 489-nucleotide ribosomal RNA is filed under the name uncultured bacterium. Its description in RNAcentral is "partial 16S ribosomal RNA". It matches the Rfam family "Bacterial small subunit ribosomal RNA", at positions 30 to 506 of the family's 1533-position model. The record is from RNAcentral.
AUUGAACGCUGGCGGCAUGCCUUACACAUGCAAGUCGAACGGCAGCAUGAUCUCGCUUGCUAGAUUGAUGGCGAGUGGCGCACGGGUGAGUCAUACAUCGGAACGUGCUCUGUAGUGGGGGAUAACUAGUCGAAAGAUUAGCUAAUACCGCAUACGACCUGAGGGUGAAAGUGGGGGACCGCAAGGCCUCAUGCUAUAGGAGCGGCCGAUGUCUGGUUAGCUAGUUGGUGGGGUAAAGGGCCACCAAGGCGCCGAUCAGUAGCUGGUCUGAGAGGACGAUCAGCCACACUGGGACUGGGACACGGCCCAGACUCCUACGGGAGGCAGCAGUGGGGAAUUUUGGACAAUGGGGGCAACCCUGAUCCAGCAAUGCCGCGUGUGUGAAGAAGGCCUUCGGGUUGUAAAGCACUUUUGUCCGGAAAGAAAUCGCACUUACUAAUAUUAGGUGUGGAUGACGGUACCGGAAGAAUAAGGACCGGCAAACUACGU